This 6875-nucleotide long non-coding RNA is filed under the name Homo sapiens (human). RNAcentral's name for it is "HSALNT0121786". The record is from RNAcentral. Lineage: Eukaryota; Metazoa; Chordata; Mammalia; Primates; Hominidae.
UCAGGUUUUUCCAGUUUGGCACUGGUUCCCUUGGAGGUUUCUGCUCAUGGGUUUCUGCUCUGCAGGUGAAAAUAUUGUGCCACUUCCUUAUAACCUCCAAAGUGUCUGAUGUGAAAUUGCUGUCAUUAGCAUGGAUUAUUUUCCCCCUAUAGUCAAAAGACACCGAAGGUCGUCGACACAGCAUCCAAAAAUGCUUCCUGGGGAAGAUGGACCAAGACGCUGCCGCGACAGGCUCCAAGAGGAAGAGUGGUAGCAGGCUAUAACACAGAGGAUAAUCUUGUCUCCAAAAGAGGUAAUGAGUGAGAAGAGCAAUGAUAGAAAUAAUUUAAAAGCUUUGGCUAAAAAACUGUUUCCCUCCAAUAGAUUACCAUUCCCUGAGUCACUACCUCUACAGAUAAGUUUGCCAGAUAAAAUUCAAGGCACCCAGUGAAAUUUGAAUUUGAGAUCAACAAUGAAUAAUUUUUUGGCACAUGUAUUUCAUGCAAUAUUUGAAAUAAUGUAUUUUUAUAGGUUAAAUAUGGCAAUUUUACCUACAGAUGGAGACUGCAUUUCAGUCAGAUAGUUUUAUGGGGUAUUAAACUAUUAGAUCUCUUCAGAGCUUUCAGGCAUAGUUUAUUCCUCCCUCCUAGAGAAAUAUUCUUCUCCCAAGGCUUCUGUGUCACAUUCUUUCCCACUUGUGUUCCUAUCUCUAAUACUAGUCUUUCUUAGCCUUAUACAAGUACUUUCUCUUUACCCAAUUGCCAUAUACAAUCACACAGGUUGUGUGCUACACAACUUCUGGGGUAUGCCCUUCACCUAGAGUGAUAUGACUGGUUCCCAUAAACAUGCAGUGUACAACCUACACAACUGUACUGAGCAGCUUGGCAUCCACUCUACAUGUUAAUAUUCUCCACAAUUUUAUCUCAGUACACUUGAACUUUUGCUCGUACUGGACAAAUUCAUCUGACCUGAUAAUUUUUAAUACUAUAAAUAUGCAUAUUUUCAAUAUAUGAUAUCACACUGUGAAAUAAAGUUUUGAGAACUUUUUUUUUCACAUAGCAUCAUUUUUUAGGCUACUCUAUAGUUUCCAAAAUAAUUUUAAAAAUUACAUAAUUAUCUUCACCAGUUCUUCAUAUGGACACACUAUGAUUUAUUCAAGCCUUCCCUAUAUUCUAAGGCAUUUUUAAGCAUAACAAUGUAAUUAAACAAGUAGUAUUCUGAGGAUAUGACCAAAGUGCAUUUUGAUUUUUGUAUCGCAAGGUUUUUCCCAUCCCGUGGCAGGACCCAUGACUUCUCUGUUAUGUCCUAGCUACCUGCAGAAAAGAAGUCACUGUCUGGAGAGUGAGGGUGAACUGUCUUCCUGCACACUGGGCCUGAAUGCUGUUAAAAACUGAUGAUUUCCCCCGUGACUUUCUGUCUGUACCCCCAUGAUCUUCCCACCAGGAUUCUCUUUUGUCCCCCUGCCCUGUGACAUGUUUCCUGUUGGAAAAGAUCCUAUUAAAAUGACCCCAGGUCUACUUGCCUUCUCAGGAUGCCACAUCUGAUCUUUCAGCCCCAGGCAGUUUUGAAGAGACAUCACUCUCUGGAAAUCUUUGCAGGGACAUAUGCUAUCCUUUCUCUUCAGUAAAUACCCAGCAGUGGAAAGGCGGGGUCAUAUUUGGAGUGACAGUUUUAUAUUCCCACCAGCAGUGUAGGAGAGUUCCAGUUAAUCUACACACCCACCAACACUUGGUAUGGUGCCCUUUUAAUUUUAGCUAUUCUAAUAGAUGUGCAGGGGCAUCACACUGUGAUUUUAAUGUUCAUUUCCCUGAUGACUAAUGAUAUGACAGUUUUCUUGUUACUCACAGCCAGAGUAUAUAAUACUAGGAAUGCAGAUGUUUUGCAAGUCCUGUUUGGGCAGGGGGAGGGCAGAAGAGCUGAUAGAACUAUGGACAAGAAAGAUCAGGAUGAGGAAGCAGAGCGAGGGAACUGUAGUCAUGAAGGUCGUGGUCGGAGGUGCAGACACCUUCAAAGACCAGACCCGAUGGUGGGCAUCUGUUAAACAAGACUAGCGAUUUGGGGAAUUGGGAGGCUUCAGCUGGCCCAAAGGAGAGCAUAAAGCUCAGACUUCAUUCCCCUGCUGCUCUGAGAUGCUUGGAAGGAGAAGGUAGAGGGGAACCCCACUGGAGGACAUCAUUCCUGAUAUGAGCCUGAACUUUGAAUUGACUGAAUGUUUACUCAAAAGAGACUGCUUUAAAGCCAAAAGGAUGAGCUCACCAAGGAGGAUAUAGAACAAGGACCAAGCUGGCUCAAUGUGAAGAGGUGAGGACAGGUGAUUACACAAGGAGCCACUCUUGGUGGCUGGGUGCUAUGUGGCCCCUUGGUCAUGAUGGAUUCAUGAGUCAAGUUUAAAGCCAAGUCAGGAAUGGGCAUCACACUGAUCAAUUCAGAGUGCAUUCUCGAAGAAUACCUCUAAUCUCCUUUUAUAAGUCUAUAUUUCAGCUUAUUUUUUCAUCCCAUACUUGUGCAGUUGUUUCAUGGAUCCCAAAUCAAGAAGCUUUUUCGGUAUCAUAUUUUUAUCUUGUUGAACUUGGAUUAUAUUUGAGUCUGUUAAAGGCCUUUCAUGUUCUGAUUUAGUCACUGAUAGGACACACUGUUGAAAAAUCACAAAAGUUUGGAGACAAUGUUAAUGCUGAUAUUCAGCCUCUUAUGGGCCUUAGGAAGAUCACUCGGUUUUCUUCUCUGCAAAAUGCAACAUGUAUAAUGACAUAAUGUGAAUUAAAGUAAUCAAUAAAUAGUGGUGGUAAUCAGUGGUGUGCUGGUAAAUGUUUAACAACUGAUUCUGUUCAGUGCUUAUCAAUUUCUGUGUUGUAAAUCCUAAUGUUAUGGCUGAUGUCAAACUACAUUGUGAUGCCACUGGGGAUGAGGUUGGGCAGAGAUGAGCACAAUCUGCUCUUCUGAGCUGGGGCCAGCCAGCUCCCGCAUCCCACUGAUGGCAGUUGUAUUUUGAUUCUGUCAGCUAAAGUAUUGGAUCUUGUCAUCUGUAAAUAUAUGAGCAUUACUUUAAUAUUUUUAUCCAAAUCUCAAUGAAUGUUUCGUACUGAACAGGAAGGAGAUUGGUAAUUUGCCCAGGAGGACUCCAUCAGGUUGUUAGCAGUCUAUUUCUGUGAACUUUAAAAUUUCUUAUCAAUCAGUUUUUAAUCAACAUCAUUACAACUUGAUUCACUCAAUAUUUGUCCAUCUUGACUCAGGCCGUCUUGAAAUUUUUUAAAAUCCUGUGUUGAAGUUGAAUUACAUUUUUUCUACAUUUCCUAACCUGGCAGUUCUCAGCACUGACCACCGUUAGAAUCACCUGAGAAACCUUGAGGAUACACUUAAGAUACACUGAAGGCCCAGCCCAGGGCGGGCUACAUAAUUUGUAGGGAUGAGUACAUAAUGGAAAUGCAGGACCACUUGUUCAAAAAUUAUUAAGAAUUUCAAAAUGGCGAUUUUGCAGAGCAUGAAACCAAGUGUGGGCCCUUCUGAGCCUGGGACCCUGUGCAACUGUACAGGCUGGGCACCCAUGAAGUAGCCUAUUCUAGUCAUUUAAUCAUUGGUUUUCCAAGGUGAAAUAUGGGAAUUCACACUGUUUAAAAUCUUUCCAGGUGGCUCUAAUGUGUAGUCAGAGUUGAGAACUUGAUGGUCCUCAAACUUAUUGCAGUGGAAUCCGAGGUUGUUAAAACACAGAUGGCUGAGCCCCACCUUAGAGUUUCUGACUCAAUAGGCCUGGGAUGGGGCACUAGAAUUUGCAUUUCCUUCAAGAUCCCAGGGGAUGCUGAUGCUGCUAGCCUGGGAACCGCAUUCUGAGAAUCAUUGACCUCAAGGGUGAAGUGCCAAGCCCUUGUACGGUAUGCAUUGUCUUUAUGAUCUGACUCCUGCCUGCCUCCAGGUGGUGGAGUCUUAAACUCAAGCCACGUGGAGCUCCUCACCAAUCCUCAAAUUCCCCAUGCUCUUGCAUGCCUUCAUGCAAGAGCUGUAGUUCUUGUGUCUGCAGGAAAAUUUCUGUUCCUCCCUUAAGGAUUCCCUUCUCCAGGCCCUCUUCCUGCGCUUGGAGGCAGGCAGCCUUCUAUUCUCUGCUGUGUGUCAGCACUCAUUGUGCUCACAGUCUACUCGUAUGUGUCUCUGAGAGCAGAUGACUGUGUCUUUCAUCUUUGUCUUCUCAGGGUCUGACACACUGUGAGCAUUUAAUAAGGAUGCUCACAUCUUUAUUAAAUGUGUACAUGGAGAGAAUAAUUUAAUUAUGUGUUCUGAGUAAAUACAUGAUCGUUCUUCAUGAUUACUAUUGUCUGGAUAGGAUCUAAGAAAGAGUGAAGGAGUUUGUUUUCCUCUAAUCCUUACAAGGUGACUUAAAAAUGCAUGCUGAUGAUGCCUAAGAGAACUGGGCUAGGGAUAGAGAUCAAUUGUUGUAGAUCCCUUUCUACAGGUGGAAAAACACAUCACAUUCUUGACUGAAUCAGCAUUUUGAUUUUUGCCUUUAGCAAAGAGAUUUUAAUGAACAACUUCAACCCUAAGGCUAUUACCAUCAUGUUUUAUAUGGAAUGAGACAACCUUUUGCAAAGAGCAAUGGUAGCUUAAGAAAAAAUCCAUCAAUAUUUAGGGUUUUGUUUUUCCCCUGACUGCAUGUGACUGAACAUUGAUUGGACUGAGAAAUGAUGUGAAAAAGAGAAUAUAAACAUAUAUGUAUUGUGAAGGGAUUAAUGAGCAAAUAUCCAAAGUUUUUUGGUCAGUUGUUGGUCCAUAAAGCCCUGUUUUAAAGUGUGUGUGGGAGUGUGUGUGUGUGUGUGUGGUUUGUGUGGGGCUGUGUGUGUGAUUGUGUGUGUGUGUGUGUGUGGGGUACGGGUGGUAUUAUGUGUGUGUGAUUGUGUGUAUUUGUGUGUGGUAUGGUGGGAUAUGUGUGUGAUUGUGUGUGUGCGUGUGAGUGGUAUGUGUGGGGCUGUCUGUGUGUGUGAGGUGUGGGUUGGAUGGAGGUGGUGAGGAAAAGAGGUUGCUUGAGGUUUCUCCCUCGAGGGAUCAUGCACACCCACAUAAAAUCCAAAUAUAAUAAAUUUUGGAAUGCAAGCACAGAUUAUCCAUCUAGCUGCAGAGGUGGAAGGCUGCCUUCAGACAUGGAAAAUGACAGAUAAUUAUCCAGUCUUUUGACAGCAUGUCUGCUACCUAAUAAUUCAAACUACUGGUAUGAAGAAGAAAGCCAAGAAUCCUGAUGAAGUUAGAAGAGAAGCUUAACAAUUUGCCUCCACCUUCUGCAUUGGAGUCUAUUCUUCUAUAUUUAGCUGCAGAAGUGGUGAAAGGUAGCCAAGCAGAGAACAACCCAGAUACUUAGGGGAGCUGCAGUUUUACCCUUUGGUUCGUGUGUAGCACCUUUCUUUCAGUUCAGUUCAUGUGUAGCUCCUUUUUCUACAAAUGUUAAGAAAAAGUGCAAUUCCAAAGAAUAGUCAAAUAAUAAGAAUCCCUUACAUUUGCAGAAUGCUUCAGAAGUUAAAAGAGAUCUCAUUUAUUUCUUAGAACACUAACCCUGUAGGGAAGCCAAGAUGGGCAUCAUUGUCUCUUUUAUACAGAUUGGGGCAUGCAAGGCCAUGCAAAAUGAUCACUGGCGUAGCUAACAAGAAUCUACAUUUCAGAUUCCUUGUCCACAUAGUCCACUUUAAAUUAAAAUACAGCGCUACUUUUAUAUUCAUGGGGUUAGGUUUUUCAUAAGGAGCACUUAAAACAGUGCCCCAGCAAUUUCAUUGGAAGUAAUCUGAUCAGUGUAGAUUGAUUUCACAAAUUCCCUUUUCAUCAAAAAGGAGUUUUAAGGAAAGAAUUACGUAGAUAGUUUUCUCAAAUCUUUACUUGAUUUUGCUUCAAUUUACUUACACGUUCUUUAUUUAUUACCUUGCUUUCCUACAUAUGAUCUGAUUUAACAAACCAUGAAUGAUACAUAAAUCACUAUCAUCAGCACAAUCAGCCCUUAUUCAGAGCAGGGAUCCAGCCAGGGGCCACAAAUGCAUUGUGACAUUCCUAUCUUAUUAGUUAUCUGAUUUAGGUCCCCAGGAAGAGAUUUAUCAUUAGAUUGUAUGAUAAGCAUUCUUUACUUGUCUUUUUCUCUAAUUGUUAAAACACACACAGACUCACAUGCUCCUGAGUUACUGAGGAAAAUUGAAUAGGUGCCUAUAACACAGGUUUGACAAUAUAGGAAAACUCCUAAAAAUGUUUUCCUGGAUUCCAAGUGAACCUAGUUGAAGGACGAUAUGUAAUGAACUAAAGCUCAGUGCCUUAUAUGUUCUCUCACAAGAAAAUCAAUUAAUUAUUCAAGAAAUGAAGAGGAAUUUAUGAAAAACUUCUAAAACCUAUUUUUAUUCAAGCCUUUAUACUAAAUAUUGAAAUGAUGUCAGAACUUUCCUUUAUAUUUUUGGUUGAAAUGAGUAUAAAUAACAAUAAUUCCCAAAGGGAUUUCUCUUUUAUUUUACAAGUGAAAAUACCGGCAAUGCUGUCUCUGGGGCAGACGGAAAGAGAAAACUUUCCUAAGUUUUCCUCCUCCACAUCAUUCCCUUUGACCAGGUUCAAAGUAGCUCACACUGGUGUUCUCCUGCUUUGAGAAAAAGCCAAGACUUUUGUUAAAGCCAUUAGGAAUCGCUGCUGGGGAUAUGGCCAUGUCCCAGGCAGGCGGUGGGGUCCCUGCUCAGUCACACUGGGCCCAUCAGUCUUCCGAGGUGAAGCCAGCAGAGGAACGAUCUCCCUUUUAUCCUCCCAUUUCCAGGACUCCCUGGACAGCCCUGAGCAGCCUUGUGCAUAGACAGCUCUGAGAAAAUAAUCUCAUCCAUGCUGGACAUCUCCAGUGAUCCUAGAGAAAAAUGAGAAUCUCUCGAGGGCCAAGCAUGGCAGGAUCUUGCACCUACAAU